GGAGGGGGUUCAAACAGCCUCCCACUGCUGGCUCUCCACUGUUUCAAAUGUAGUGCAGCCAAGUGGUACUGCUGCAGAAGGUAGUCACACUAACUUGACCAGUCUGUCAGUGUGGCUGAGCAUGCUCAGCCUGCUUUGAAUGGAGGGGGCAGGAAGUUAAAUGCAUAUUUCGCUUAAACACGUAUUUCUGCAAUAAACAGAGAAGUACUUUGCAUUGGGG
Molecule: non-coding RNA, 220 nt
Organism: Pelobates cultripes (western spadefoot toad)
Lineage: Eukaryota; Metazoa; Chordata; Amphibia; Anura; Pelobatidae
Source: the annotation of a GenBank genome assembly